RNAcentral lists this ribosomal RNA (1048 nucleotides) under Microthecium fimicola. RNAcentral's name for it is "SSU rRNA". It matches the Rfam family "Eukaryotic small subunit ribosomal RNA", at positions 60 to 1124 of the family's 1831-position model. The record is from RNAcentral. Lineage: Eukaryota; Fungi; Ascomycota; Sordariomycetes; Coronophorales; Ceratostomataceae.
CUAGUAUAGCAUUAUACAGCGAAACUGCGAAUGGCUCAUUAUAUAAGUUAUCGUUUAUUUGAUAGUGCCUUACUACUUGGAUAACCGUGGUAAUUCUAGAGCUAAUACAUGCUGAAAGCCCCGACUCACGGAGGGGCGUAUUUAUUAGAUUAAAAACCAAUGCCCUUCGGGGCUCCUUGGUGAUUCAUGAUAACUUCUCGAAUCGCACGGCCUUGCGCCGGCGAUGGUUCAUUCAAAUUUCUUCCCUAUCAACUUUCGAUGUUUGGGUAGUGGCCAAACAUGGUGGCAACGGGUAACGGAGGGUUAGGGCUCGACCCCGGAGAAGGAGCCUGAGAAACGGCUCCUACAUCCAAGGAAGGCAGCAGGCGCGCAAAUUACCCAAUCCCGACUCGGGGAGGUAGUGACAAUAAAUACUGAUGCAGGGCUCUUUAGGGUCUUGCAAUUGGAAUGAGUACAAUUUAAAUCCCUUAACGAGGAACAAUUGGAGGGCAAGUCUGGUGCCAGCAGCCGCGGUAACUCCAGCUCCAAUAGCGUAUAUUAAAGUUGUUGUGGUUAAAAAGCUCGUAGUUGAACCUUGGGCCUGGCCGUCCGGUCCGCCUCACCGCGUGCACUGGCACGGCCGGGCCUUCCCACCGCGGAAUCGCAUGCCCUUUACUGGGCGUGUCGGGGAAGCGGUACUUUUACUGUGAAAAAAUUAGAGUGCUCUAAGCAGGCCUAUGCUCGAAUACAUUAGCAUGGAAUAAUAGAAUAGGACAGGCGUUCUAUUUUGUUGGUUUCUAGGACGUCUGUAAUGAUUAACAGAAACAAUCGGGGGCGUCAGUAUUGCAUCGUCAGAGGUGAAAUUCUUAGAUCGACGCAAGACUAACUACUGCGAAAGCAUUCGCCAAGGGUGUUUUCAUUAAUCAGGAACGAAAGUUAGGGGAUCGAAGACGAUCAGAUACCGUCGUAGUCUUAACCAUAAACUAUGCCGACUAGGGAUCGGGCGGUGUUAAUUUUUGACCCGCUCGGCACCUUACGAGAAAUCUUAAGUGCUGGGCUCCAGGGGAGU